Molecule: ribosomal RNA, 446 nt
Filed under: uncultured bacterium
Lineage: Bacteria
Description: partial 16S ribosomal RNA
Rfam family: Bacterial small subunit ribosomal RNA
Source: RNAcentral
CCUACGGGAGGCUGCAGUCGAGAAUUAUUCACAAUGGGGGAAACCCUGAUGGUGCGACGCCGCGUGGGGGAAUGAAGGUCUUCGGAUUGUAAACUCCUGUCAUGUGGGAGCAAAUUAAAAAGAUAGUACCACAAGAGGAAGAGACGGCUAACUCUGUGCCAGCAGCCGCGGUAAUACAGAGGUGUCAAGCGUUGUUCGGAAUCACUGGGCGUAAAGCGUGCGUAGGCUGUUUCGUAAGUCGUGUGUGAAAGGCGCGGGCUCAACCCGCGGACGGCACAUGAUACUGCGAGACUAGAGUGAUGGAGGGGAAACCGGAAUUCUCGGUGUAGCAGUGAAAUGCGUAGAUAUCGAGAGGAACACUCGUGGCGAAGGCGGGUUCCUGGACAUUAACUGACGCUGAGGCGCGAAGGCCAGGGGAGCGAAAGGGAUUAGAUACCCUUGUAGUC